GACCCACAAGGCAUGAGUCGACUCAUGAGUCGACCCCUGCUAAUUUGAGCCAAGAAUUACCAGAAACGCAUUCUCUGAUUUUUGCAACAGAGGUCGACUCAUGAGUCGACCCCUGAAGCAUGAGUCGACUCAUGAGUCGACCCCUGCGACGGGAAAAGUCAGCAAUGGCUAUUUUUUUGCCCGUUUUAAUUGCCAUUUAUGCUUCCUAAAAAUUCUCUAACGGCUCUUUAUCUACCUAAAUUAUUUUCUCUUGCUUCUAAUGCUACAAAAUGCUUAAAAUGAUGAAAGAAAUUGCAGAUUAAAUAGCGGAUCAAACGUGAAAUCAAAUGUGAAGAGAAAAAGAAGAAAAGAGAAGAACAGAAGAGAGGAUCCAAAAUUUGCAAGAAAAAG
RNAcentral lists this long non-coding RNA (390 nucleotides) under Elaeis guineensis (African oil palm). Its description in RNAcentral is "long non-coding RNA (EGUI_LNC071484)". Lineage: Eukaryota; Viridiplantae; Streptophyta; Magnoliopsida; Arecales; Arecaceae. The record is from RNAcentral.